UACGUAGGGGGCAAGCGUUGUCCGGAAUUAUUGGGCGUAAAGAGCUUGUAGGCGGUUUGUCGCGUCUGCUGUGAAAUUUCGGGGCUCAACCCCGAACUUGCAGUGGGUACGGGCAGACUAGAGUGUGGUAGGGGAGACUGGAAUUCCUGGUGUAGCGGUGAAAUGCGCAGAUAUCAGGAGGAACACCGAUGGCGAAGGCAGCUCGCUGGGACGGUACUGACGCUGAGGCGCGAAAGCGUGGGGAGCGAACAGG
Molecule: ribosomal RNA, 253 nt
Filed under: uncultured bacterium
Lineage: Bacteria
Description: partial 16S ribosomal RNA
Rfam family: Bacterial small subunit ribosomal RNA
Source: RNAcentral